Molecule: ribosomal RNA, 450 nt
Filed under: uncultured bacterium
Lineage: Bacteria
Description: bacterial SSU rRNA
Rfam family: Bacterial small subunit ribosomal RNA
Source: RNAcentral
GUGGGGAAUUUUGGACAAUGGGCGAAAGCCUGAUCCAGCAAUGCCGCGUGUGUGAAGAAGGCCUUCGGGUUGUAAAGCACUUUUGGCAGGGAAGAAACAGUGCGUGCUAAUACCAUGCGCGAAUGACGGUACCUGCAGAAUAAGCACCGGCUAACUACGUGCCAGCAGCCGCGGUAAUACGUAGGGUGCAAGCGUUAAUCGGAAUUACUGGGCGUAAAGCGUGCGCAGGCGGCUUUGUAAGACGGAUGUGAAAGCCCCGGGCUCAACCUGGGAAGUGCAUUCGUGACUGAAAGGCUAGAGUGUGGCAGAGGGAGGUGGAAUUCCGCGUGUAGCAGUGAAAUGCGUAGAGAUGCGGAGGAACACCGAUGGCGAAGGCAGCCUCCUGGGAUAACACUGACGCUCAGGCACGAAAGCGUGGGGAGCAAACAGGAUUAGAAACCCUAGUAGUCC